RNAcentral lists this transfer RNA (96 nucleotides) under Selenomonas sp. CM52. Its description in RNAcentral is "tRNA-Ala". Lineage: Bacteria; Bacillati; Bacillota; Negativicutes; Selenomonadales; Selenomonadaceae. The record is from RNAcentral.
GCCGGUCGUCUCCAAGUGGGUGGAGAGGUCGCUUGCAGCGAUGUGCGAGGCCGCGGCAGCGCGUCAGCUGCCGUUCAUUCCGACGCGACUCGUGCC